Molecule: ribosomal RNA, 1552 nt
Filed under: metagenome
Description: eukaryotic LSU rRNA
Rfam family: Eukaryotic large subunit ribosomal RNA
Source: RNAcentral
UUGAAGUCGGCACCAGCUAAGGAGUGUGUAACAACUCACCAGCCGAAUUAACCAGCCCUGAAAAUUGAUAGCGCUAAGCGUGAUACCGAUACUCAACCAUCAUGGCAAAUAGAAGCUAUGAUGAGUAAGAGGGCGUGAAGACUGUGUAGAAGGCUUGGAUGUGAAUCUGGCUGGAACAGUCUUUAGUGCAGAUCUUGGUGGUAGUAGCAAAUAUUCAAAUGAGAACUUUGAAGACCGAAGUGGAGAAGGGUUCCAUGAGAACAGCAUUUGGUCAUGGGUUACUCGAUCCUAAGACAUAGGGAAAUUCCUUGUAAUACAUUUGCACUUACGUGCAUGUAGUCAAAAGGGAAUGAGGUUCAUAUUCCUCAAGCUGGAUGUGGGAGCUAUGUGGUAACACAAACAAGCUCGGAGACAUCGGUAUGUGCAACUGGAAGAGUUCUCUUUUCUUCUUAACAGUCUAUCUCCCUGAACGGAUUAUCCAGAGCUAGGGAUAUAUGGCUGGCAGAGCAGUUCUCCAUUGAAUUGUCAGUGAAGCUCAUAACGAUCCUUGAAAAUCCGAGUAAGAUUAUCUCAUCACACCAGGUCGUACCCAUAACCGCAUCAGGUCUCCAAGGUUAGCAGCCUCUGGUCGAUAGAAUAACGUAGAUAAGGGAAUUCGGCAAAUUAGAUCCGUAACUUCGGGAAAAGGAUUGGCUCUGAGGGUUGAGUGUGGUGCCAAUGAAAUGGAACUAGGAUCUGUACUGGUGUUGGUCGCAAGAUCGAAACCGGCAUGGAGAGAAGGAAAAUUUUUGCGGCUAGCACAAUUAACAACCGACUCAGAACUGAAGCGGACAAGGGGAAUCCGACUGUUUAAUAAAAACAUAGCUUUGUGAUGGCCUCAAAAGGUGUUGACACAAAGUGAUUUCUGCCCAGUGCUUUGAAUGUGAAUAUGAAGUAAUUUAUAGAAGCUCAGGUAAACGGCGGGAGUAACUAUGACUCUCUUAAGGUAGCCAAAUGCCUCGUCAUCUAAUUAGUGACGCGCAUGAAUGGAUUAAUGAGAUUCCCACUGUCCCUAUCUACCAUCUAGCGAACCCAUAGCCAAGGGAACGAGCUUGGAAUAAUCAGCGGGGAAAGAAGACCCUGUUGAGCUGACUCUAGUCCGACUUUGUGAAAUGACUUUCGAGAUAUAGCCUAAGUGGGAGCUAACGCGCCGCUGUAAAACCACUGCUCGCUUAGCCAUUUUACUUACUCCAUGAAGAAGUGGCCGAUUUUUCGGUUCUUAGAUUUAAGCCCUGACUCGUAUCAGGGCAAGCUUUGUGGAGGACACAGUCAGGUGGGGAGUUUGACUGGGCGGUACAUCUGUUAAAACGUAACGCAGGUGUCCUACGGUGAGCUCAAAGAGAACAGAAACCUCUUGUAGACCAAAAGGGGAAAAGCUCACUUGAUUUUGAUUUUCAGUACUAAUACCAACCGCGAAAGCGUGGCCUAUCGAUCCUUUAACUUUACAAGUUUUAAGCUAGAGGUGUCAGAAAAGUUACCACAGGGAUAACUGGCUUGUGGCAGCCAAGCGCCC